CUCGAUAGGAAGGCAAUGACUUCCAUCACCACGCUUGUGUGUUGGACUAUUUGGAACGAAAGAAAUGCACAGGUUUUUCACAACAAGAGUGCACCGCCGCUGAUUUUGAUAUGCGCCUUAAAAGAUGAAGCUUGGCUGUGCGUGAUCGCGGGCGCAAAGAAAUUAGGUGCCAUCUUAUCAGGAUAG
This 186-nucleotide ribosomal RNA is filed under the name Triticum aestivum (bread wheat). RNAcentral's name for it is "partial small subunit ribosomal RNA". The record is from RNAcentral. Lineage: Eukaryota; Viridiplantae; Streptophyta; Magnoliopsida; Poales; Poaceae.